GAUGAAGAACGUAGCGAAAUGCGAUAAGUAAUGUGAAUUGCAGAAUUCAGUGAAUCAUCGAAUCUUUGAACGCACAUUGCGCCCCUUGGUAUUCCGAGGGGCAUGCCUGUUCGAGCGUCAUUUCAACCCUCAAGCACAGCUUGGUCUUGGGCUUCGCCGCUAACCCGGCGGGUCUUAAAAUCAGUGGCGGUGCCGUCGGGCCCUGAGCGCAGUAAUCUCUCACGCUAUAGGGUCCCGGCGGAUGCUGGCCAGUAACCCCCAAUUUUCUAUGGUUGACCUCGGAUCAGGUAGGGAUACCCGCUGAACUUAAGCAUAUCAAUAAGCGGAGGA
Molecule: unclassified non-coding RNA, 330 nt
Filed under: soil metagenome
Description: partial contains 5.8S ribosomal RNA, internal transcribed spacer 2, and large subunit ribosomal RNA
Rfam family: 5.8S ribosomal RNA (bases 1-120)
Source: RNAcentral